AGAUGUGAGGGCCAUCUGGCUGCGAUAUCUGUCACCCCAUUGAUCGCCAGGCUUGAUUUGGCUAAUCUGGCUGGCUAAGCGGGUGUCCCCUUCCUCCCUUACCAAUCCAUGUGUGUCCCUCCCUAAGUUGUGUGCUCGGUGGAAGAGGACGUCCUUCCCCGAAUAGAGAUGUCUUCAGUAGAGGGUAUACGAGUAGCUGCCCUCCCCUGCUAGAACCUCCAAACAAGCUUUCAAACCCUCUUGGUUCCAUAACAAAAAUGAAGAAGUGAUCUUUGAAAAGUCCUAUACAAGAUACUCUUAUAA
RNAcentral lists this small nuclear RNA (303 nucleotides) under Erinaceus europaeus (western European hedgehog). Its description in RNAcentral is "7SK RNA". It matches the Rfam family "7SK RNA". Rfam says of the family: 7SK was discovered as an abundant small nuclear RNA in the mid-70s but a possible function has only recently been suggested. Lineage: Eukaryota; Metazoa; Chordata; Mammalia; Eulipotyphla; Erinaceidae. The record is from Rfam by way of RNAcentral.